RNAcentral lists this ribosomal RNA (450 nucleotides) under uncultured bacterium. RNAcentral's name for it is "partial 16S ribosomal RNA". It matches the Rfam family "Bacterial small subunit ribosomal RNA", at positions 354 to 796 of the family's 1533-position model. The record is from RNAcentral.
GUGGGGAAUCUUCCGCAAUGGACGAAAGUCUGACGGAGCAACGCCGCGUGAGUGAUGAAGGUCUUCGGAUUGUAUAGCUCUGUUAAUCGGGACGAAAGAGCCUAGUGUGAAUAAUGCUAGGAAGUGACGGUACCGGAAUAGAAAGCCACGGCUAACUACGUGCCAGCAGCCGCGGUAAUACGUAGGUGGCAAGCGUUGUCCGGAAUUAUUGGGCGUAAAGCGCGCGCAGGCGGAUCUGCCAGUCUGUCUUAAAAGUUCGGGGCUUAACCCCGUGAUGGGAUGGAAACUACAGAUCUAGAGUAUCGGAGAGGAAAGUGGAAUUCCUAGUGUAGCGGUGAAAUGCGUAGAUAUUAGGAAGAACACCAGUGGCGAAGGCGACUUUCUGGACGAAAACUGACGCUGAGGCGCGAAAGCCAGGGGAGCGAACGGGAUUAGAUACCCGAGUAGUCC